CGGUCCUUGCCACAGGUGAUGAAAAGGGAAGCAGGUGGGAAUCCUGCACUGUCCCGCAGCUGUAUGCUGCCGUUAUGUCGGCGAACAAAAUGCCACUGGUCAUCCCGGGAAGGCGUUCGCCCUCUGAAGCAGUAAGUCAGAAGACCUGCCGUGGUGAU
RNAcentral lists this non-coding RNA (158 nucleotides) under uncultured Prevotella sp. The record is from RNAcentral. Lineage: Bacteria; Pseudomonadati; Bacteroidota; Bacteroidia; Bacteroidales; Prevotellaceae.